This 78-nucleotide transfer RNA is filed under the name Gemmatimonadota bacterium. RNAcentral describes it as "Gemmatimonadetes bacterium tRNA-Val". It matches the Rfam family "tRNA". Rfam says of the family: Transfer RNA (tRNA) molecules are approximately 80 nucleotides in length. Their secondary structure includes four short double-helical elements and three loops (D, anti-codon, and T loops). The record is from RNAcentral. Lineage: Bacteria; Pseudomonadati; Gemmatimonadota.
GGGCGAUUAGCUCAGUUGGUUGAGAGUGCCUGCCUUACAAGCAGGAGGUCACUGGUUCGAAUCCAGUAUCGCCCACCA